GAUGAUUCAGAGGAAUAACAUUUAAAUUGUCUUAACUUUUGUUUCCUUAUUUUUCAGAUGCAAUCACUUGGUCUCCCCUGAGGUGAUCUGGUACUUUGGGUUUAAAUUACAAUUUUGCAUCUUCAUUUGAGAAAUUUAGCUUCAGAAAGGAUAACUUGCAGGCAUACAACACCAGUGGGUUAUAAAUAUGUGCACAUGUGUUUACUGCAUGACAUCUUACAAAUGACUGAAAAUGGAUACAACAGAAAUGUUCAUCAAUGUGGAAUAAGUGGAAAACACACUUCAUCUUUUGGGCAUGAUUAAAACAGACAUAUUGUUAAUACCAAUACCCCUUGGUGAAACUCACUGUCAUCAUCACAGAAGGAUACACAUCAUCCAUUCAGCUAAGGAGAUGCAAAAGAGAUGGCCUUGGCUGAAAAAUAUGAAGCACGCACCAUUC
Molecule: long non-coding RNA, 439 nt
Filed under: Chinchilla lanigera (long-tailed chinchilla)
Lineage: Eukaryota; Metazoa; Chordata; Mammalia; Rodentia; Chinchillidae
Description: lncRNA (ENSCLAG00000026018.1)
Source: RNAcentral